UGGAAGAUUUGCGGUCAAUAGUAGAUCCAAUAGCGCAGAGCGAAGUAGAACAUGAUGCGUGUUGUUCGAUCAGUCUUUGUUGACUUGUGUCAGAAUUCCAGGGAUAUGUAAGUGGAAGAGAAAUCCUGUUAAUUGGUGUGUGUCGUAGCACAUCUGGCAGGUUCGUCCGUUAUAACAAGCAAAUGGACACUGCUAGUGUGGAAAUGAGAAUCAGGCUGCAGCACAGAAUAGAGUCUCCGUUGGUAGUGUUGGUUGUGCUAGUGGUCUACCUGACUGGACUUGGAAAAUGUCUCAUUGAUAUCGCAGGUAUGUCAGUUAAAAUAACUUAUUUUUUACUUAUAAUAAUUUUUACACAUAUAAGAGAUUUUUACGUUAUAAUAAGCGAC
RNAcentral lists this long non-coding RNA (386 nucleotides) under Androctonus crassicauda. Lineage: Eukaryota; Metazoa; Arthropoda; Arachnida; Scorpiones; Buthidae. The record is from RNAcentral.